This 468-nucleotide ribosomal RNA is filed under the name uncultured bacterium. RNAcentral's name for it is "partial 16S ribosomal RNA". It matches the Rfam family "Bacterial small subunit ribosomal RNA", at positions 28 to 507 of the family's 1533-position model. The record is from RNAcentral.
GACGAACGCUGGCGGCGUGCUUAACACAUGCAAGUCGAACGGAAAGGCCCUGCUUUUGUGGGGUGCUCGAGUGGCGAACGGGUGAGUAACACGUGAGUAACCUGCCCUUGACUUUGGGAUAACUUCAGGAAACUGGGGCUAAUACCGGAUAGGAGCUCCUGCUGCAUGGUGGGGGUUGGAAAGUUUCGGCGGUUGGGGAUGGACUCGCGGCUUAUCAUCUUGUUGGUGGGGUAGUGGCUUACCAAGGCUUUGACGGGUAGCCGGCCUGAGAGGGUGACCGGCCACAUUGGGACUGAGAUACGGCCCAGACUCCUACGGGAGGCAGAAGUGGGGAAUAUUGCACAAUGGGCGGAAGCCUGAUGCAGCAACGCCGCGUGCGGGAUGACGGCCUUCGGGUUGUAAACCGCUUUCGCCUGUGACGAAGCGUGAGUGACGGUAAUGGGUAAAGAAGCACCGGCUAACUACGUG